UCUCAUCAAGAGUAGUGGAGGGAAAGGCCCUGUGAAGCUACAGCAACCAUUCUAAGGAAAAGGUGCUAAGUCCGACGGUUCAGAGCCGAAAGAUG
This 95-nucleotide non-coding RNA is filed under the name uncultured Veillonella sp. Its description in RNAcentral is "SAM riboswitch (S box leader)". It matches the Rfam family "SAM riboswitch aptamer (S box leader)". Rfam says of the family: The SAM riboswitch is found upstream of a number of genes which code for proteins involved in methionine or cysteine biosynthesis in Gram-positive bacteria. The SAM riboswitch acts at the level of transcription termination control. The predicted structure consists of a complex stem-loop region followed by a single stem loop terminator region. Lineage: Bacteria; Bacillati; Bacillota; Negativicutes; Veillonellales; Veillonellaceae. The record is from RNAcentral.